UCACGAAUCAUUGGCAAUGCGCGCAAGCGUGACCAUGCAAUGCCGCGUGGGCGAUGAAGGCCUUCGGGUUGUAAAGCCCUGUCAGGGGUGAGGAAACGUGCGGGUUCACUCGCAUUUGACGUUAGCCCCAGAGGAAGUCACGGCUAACUCCGUGCCAGCAGCCGCGGUAAUACGGAGGUGGCAAACGUUGCUCGGAAUCACUGGGCUUAAAGGGCGUGUAGGCGGCCGUCUAAGUCGGAUGUGAAAUCUCUCGGCCUAACCGAGAAACUGCAUUCGAAACUGGACGGCUAGAGUGCGGGAGGGGCAAGUGGAACUCCAGGUGUAGCGGUGAAAUGCGUAGAUAUCUGGAGGAACGCCGGUGGCGAAAGCGACUUGCUGGACCGCAACUGACGCUGAGGCGCGAAAGCUAGGGGAGCGAACGGGAUUAGAUACCCCUGUAGUCC
RNAcentral lists this ribosomal RNA (443 nucleotides) under uncultured prokaryote. RNAcentral's name for it is "bacterial SSU rRNA". It matches the Rfam family "Bacterial small subunit ribosomal RNA", at positions 355 to 796 of the family's 1533-position model. The record is from RNAcentral.